RNAcentral lists this ribosomal RNA (468 nucleotides) under uncultured bacterium. RNAcentral's name for it is "partial 16S ribosomal RNA". It matches the Rfam family "Bacterial small subunit ribosomal RNA", at positions 28 to 507 of the family's 1533-position model. The record is from RNAcentral.
GACGAACGCUGGCGGCGUGCUUAACACAUGCAAGUCGAACGGAAAGGCGCUGCUUUUGUGGGUUGCUCGAUAGGCGAACGGGUGAGUAACACGUGAGUAACCUGUCCCUGACAGUGGGAGAACAUCAGGAGACAGGGGCUAAUACCGGAUAUGAGAUUCUGCUGCGUGGUGGGCAUUGGAAAGAUACGGCGGUGGUGGCUGGAAUCGAGGCUUCUCAGCUUGUUGGUGAGGUAGUGGCGUACCAAGGCUUUGACGGGUAGCCGGCCUGAGAGGGUGACCAGCCACCAUGGGACUGAGAGAGGGCGCAGACUCCUACCGGCGGCAGUAGGGGAGAAUAUUGCACAAUGGGCGGACGCCUGAUGUAGCAGCCCUGCGUGCGGGAAGACGGCCUUCUGGUUGUAAACCGCUUUCGACUGAGCCGAAGCGUGCGUGACGGUAAUGGGUAAGGAAGCACCGGCUAACUACGUG